This 917-nucleotide ribosomal RNA is filed under the name uncultured bacterium. RNAcentral describes it as "bacterial SSU rRNA". It matches the Rfam family "Bacterial small subunit ribosomal RNA", at positions 33 to 958 of the family's 1533-position model. The record is from RNAcentral.
ACGCUAGCGGCAGGCCUAACACAUGCAAGUCGAGGGAGGAGCUUUCGGGCUUCGACCGGCGUACGGGUGCGUAACGCGUAUACAAUCUGCCUUUCACAUAGGGAUAGCCCGAAGAAAUUUGGAUUAAUACCUAAUGGUAUAUAGGGAUGGCAUCAUUUUUAUAUUAAAGCUGAGGCGGUGAAAGAUGAGUAUGCGUUCUAUUAGCUAGUUGGAGAGGUAACGGCUCCCCAAGGCGACGAUAGAUAGGGGUUCUGAGAGGGAUAUCCCCCACACUGGUACUGAGAUACGGACCAGACUCCUACGGGAGGCAGCAGUGAGGCAUAUUGGACAAUGGUCGGAAGACUGAUCCAGCCAUGCCGCGUGCAGGAAGACGGCCUUAUGGGUUGUAAACUGCUUUUGCAGGGGAAGAAUAAGGACUACGAGUAGUUUGAUGACGGUACUCUGCGAAUAAGCAUCGGCUAACUCCGUGCCAGCAGCCGCGGUAAUACGGAGGAUGCGAGCGUUAUCCGGAAUCAUUGGGUUUAAAGGGUCCGUAGGCGGGCUAAUAAGUCAGAGGUGAAAGCGCUCAGCUCAACUGAGCAACUGCCUUUGAAACUGUUAGUCUUGAAUGGUUGUGAAGUAGUUGGAAUGUGUAGUGUAGCGGUGAAAUGCUUAGAUAUUACACAGAACACCGAUAGCGAAGGCAUAUUACUAACAAUUAAUUGACGCUGAUGGACGAAAGCGUGGGGAGCGAACAGGAUUAGAUACCCUGGUAGUCCACGCUGUAAACGAUGGAUACUAGCUGUUUGGAUGAAAGUUUGAGUGGCUAAGCGAAAGUGAUAAGUAUCCCACCUGGGGAGUACGCACGCAAGUGUGAAACUCAAAGGAAUUGACGGGGGCCCGCACAAGCGGUGGAGCAUGUGGUUUAAUUCGAUGAU